AUAAAAUCUGGGAGCCCAAGCAGCAUAUUUGUGGGAUUUGUCUGACAGAACGCAAUGGAAACAGAGCGUGGCAUUCGCUCCAUCUCCCCCAGAUGUUCCAUAAGUUUCUGCUUCCAUCAGCAAUGUAAGGAAGUGCCCAAUUCCUCCUACCCCCACAUUACUGAGAAUCUUAUCAAAUUUUUUGAUCUUUUCUGAUUGGCUCUCCAAUCCUGAAGUCAAAAUGGAAUGCAUCUCUGCUCUUCCUCUGGGCAUCAUCUAAUUUUUUUGUUCUUGUUUUCCUUGUGCUGGAAUCUACAACACCCUCUCCUAGCCCCUCAACCAGCCUUUCUUCUGCAGAGCAACUUAGUUCUAAUUAGCAACUACAAACCUAUUCACCUACAUCCAAGAGUUCAGUAGUGUCUUUUAAGUAUGUAACAGGCAAUUCUUUUACAUUUUAUUGAGAUGACUACUUUAAAAAAAUUGGUUGCUACCCAGAACUGUUUAGAACAUUGCUUGCUUUAGGUAAGUGAGUGAAGCAAGAUGUGAUAACAUAGGGCUGGGGGACUAGAGUUGGGUAAUAUGGUAGCACAUGAUUUUGUUACUUGAGAUUGCCUGUAA
Molecule: long non-coding RNA, 597 nt
Filed under: Homo sapiens (human)
Lineage: Eukaryota; Metazoa; Chordata; Mammalia; Primates; Hominidae
Description: non-protein coding LINC02389:20
Source: RNAcentral